GAUGAACGCUGGCGGCGUGCCUAAUACAUGCAAGUCGAGCGAACGGACGAGAAGCUUGCUUCUCUGAUGUUAGCGGCGGACGGGUGAGUAACACGUGGAUAACCUACCUAUAAGACUGGGAUAACUUCGGGAAACCGGAGCUAAUACCGGAUAAUAUUUUGAACCGCAGGGUUCAAAAGUGAAAGACGGUCUUGCUGUCACUUAUAGAUGGAUCCGCGCUGCAUUAGCUAGUUGGUAAGGUAACGGCUUACCAAGGCAACGAUGCAUAGCCGACCUGAGAGGGUGAUCGGCCACACUGGAACUGAGACACGGUCCAGACUCCUACGGGAGGCCGCAGUAGGGAAUCUUCCGCAAUGGGCGAAAGCCUGACGGAGCAACGCCGCGUGAGUGAUGAAGGUCUUCGGAUCGUAAAACUCUGUUAUUAGGGAAGAACAUAUGUGUAAGUAACUGUGCACAUCUUGACGGUACCUAAUCAGAAAGCCACGGCUAACUACGUG
Molecule: ribosomal RNA, 497 nt
Filed under: uncultured bacterium
Lineage: Bacteria
Description: partial 16S ribosomal RNA
Rfam family: Bacterial small subunit ribosomal RNA
Source: RNAcentral